Rosa chinensis is the source of this 387-nucleotide long non-coding RNA. RefSeq lists it as uncharacterized. The transcript has 3 exons. Lineage: Eukaryota; Viridiplantae; Streptophyta; Magnoliopsida; Rosales; Rosaceae. The record is from RefSeq and is a predicted model, not a curated record.
CAUCAUUCUCCAAGCCGCCUCCGACCUGACCUCGAGUCCCCGACGUCAGUCUCUGACCCCGUGUCUCCAAGCCGCCUCCCAGUCCGAUCGAUCGAUCGCUACAAGACCGUGAUCGACUCUCUUCGUAGCUCCAAAGGGAAGCUGAUUAUAAUCUCCGACCUGACCUCGAGUCCCCGACGUCAGUCUCUGACCCCGUGUCUCCAAGCCGCCUCCCAGUCCGAUCGAUCGAUCUGUUUACACUCUGGGAUACAAGACCGUGAUCGACUCUCUUCGUAGCUCCAAAGGGAAGCUGAUUAUAAUCUCGAACAAUUGCCCUCCUCUAAGAAAGUCGGAGAUCGAGUACUAUGCCAUGCUUGCUAAGGUUGGAGUUCAUCACUACAAUGGAAG